GGUCCGGGCGUUAUCCGGAUUUAUUGGGUUUAAAGGGAGCGUAGGCCGGAGAUUAAGCGUGUUGUGAAAUGUAGUGGCUCAACCUCUGCACUGCAGCGCGAACUGGUCUUCUUGAGUACGCACAACGUGGGCGGAAUUCGUGGUGUAGCGGUGAAAUGCUUAGAUAUGACGAAGAACUCCGAUAGCGAAGGCAGCCUGCUGGGGUGGCAUUGACGCUGAGGCUCGAAAGCGCGGGUAUC
This 239-nucleotide ribosomal RNA is filed under the name uncultured bacterium. RNAcentral's name for it is "partial 16S ribosomal RNA". It matches the Rfam family "Bacterial small subunit ribosomal RNA", at positions 531 to 769 of the family's 1533-position model. The record is from RNAcentral.